GAUGAACGCUAGCUACAGGCUUAACACAUGCAAGUCGAGGGGUAACGAGAGGAAAGCUUGCUUUCCUUGUCGACGACCGGCGCACGGGUGAGUAACGCGUAUCCAACCUGCCCCCAACUAGGGAAUAACCUUGCGAAAGUAAGACUAAUACCCUAUAAUUUCCUCAGAUGUCAUCUGACGAGGAAUAAAGAUUUAUCGGUUGUGGAUGGGGAUGCGUCUGAUUAGCUUGUUGGCGGGGUAACGGCCCACCAAGGCAACGAUCAGUAGGGGUUCUGAGAGGAAGGUCCCCCACAUUGGAACUGAGACACGGCCCAAACACCUACGGGAGGCAGCAGUGAGGAAUAUUGGUCAAUGGGCGGAAGCCUGAACCAGCCAAGUAGCGUGCAGGAUGACGGCCCUAUGGGUUGUAAACUGCUUUUAUACAGGAAUAAAGUUAGCCACGUGUGGUUAUUUGUAGGUACUGUAUGAAUAAGGACCGGCUAAUUCCGUGCCAGCCGCCGCGGUAA
Molecule: ribosomal RNA, 506 nt
Filed under: uncultured bacterium
Lineage: Bacteria
Description: partial 16S ribosomal RNA
Rfam family: Bacterial small subunit ribosomal RNA
Source: RNAcentral